AACCAAAAUGUAGCUCAAUAGAAAAGCACCUCCCUUACACCGAGGGGACAUCUGUGCAAAUCAGAUCAUUUU
Molecule: transfer RNA, 72 nt
Filed under: Huso dauricus x Acipenser schrenckii
Lineage: Eukaryota; Metazoa; Chordata; Actinopteri; Acipenseriformes; Acipenseridae
Description: tRNA-Val
Rfam family: tRNA
About the family: Transfer RNA (tRNA) molecules are approximately 80 nucleotides in length.
Source: RNAcentral